Rhineura floridana is the source of this 3304-nucleotide long non-coding RNA. RefSeq lists it as uncharacterized. The transcript has 5 exons. Lineage: Eukaryota; Metazoa; Chordata; Lepidosauria; Squamata; Rhineuridae. The record is from RefSeq and is a predicted model, not a curated record.
UUAAAAAUGUAUAAAUGAAACCCUCUCUUAACUCUACUAGAUUUGGUCAGGCUCCAUGGAUGCCCCAGAGGGCAGCUGCUCAUUGCCUCCCAAGGAGGCGCAGCACAGAUCCAUCUUGGCCCCACACCUGUUCAAAGUGCACAUUCAGCAACUGGGAAAAGUGUAAGCAUGUGGAGAGUCUGCUCUCUCCUGUGUUUCCAUUGGACCCAGGCUAGUCAUCAUAGAUGUUCAAGAAAAAGGCAGGCCUCAUCAAGACCAGCUAGGACAGCCUGCUCCUCUUACAGAAGCAUGGAGGCUUCCUUGGUGGGUUUUGUCACUGCUGCAGAGCCCACAUUGGCUGCCAGGGCCCAGCUUGAAAGGCUGGUCCUUAACAAAUGGAGACCAAAACAACAUGCAUUCAAUGCCUCCAAAGAAUCGCCAACUCCCUUUCCCUUCCCUGGCCAGAGCUUCCAAGAUCUGCUGCAGGCGCCCUACUGGUGCUGGAACCCCUUUUCAAAAAAAAGUUAAGGUAAAAACACUCAGUUAUAGGCCUACCUUAUGACUUAAUGAUUUUUGAAAAUAAUUGUCCUUAUUUGGAUGUUUAAGGACGCCACAGACCAGAACUUGCAAGAUCUAAACAGGGUGGUUUAUAAGGAGGUGGCUGAUUCAUAGGGUCACCACAAGUCAUAAUCGACUUCAAGGCACGUAACAACAAAAUUUGGAUGUUUGCCAUGGAAUCAGAAACUAACAGAGAUUUAAAUAUUUUGCCUUUGGACAAGUUUCAUCUACUUAUUUCAUACUCAAUUUUUAUGUGGAAGCUAAAGGAUUAGAAAUGCUUGGCGACUGAAGAGGCCAUUUAUGAGGAAUCAAUCAAUCCAUUUAUUCGACCAAUUGGUCAGCAUAAAACAUAGUAAGACAGGGUGUACAUAUAACUAAAUGCUAUAUGGUAUUUUAGUAAAAUACAUAAAUUUGAAUUUAAAAUAGAUAUAAAAGAAGUAAAACUAUAGAUUUUUAAUUAAGUGUCUAAUAGAUUGAGAAAGAUUUACAAUUGCAUAAGAAUGUUGAUCGAGAUGGGUUCAAAGUAGCAUCGAAUGAGUCAAAAUGGGAUUUUUUAUGUUCUCAGUUAAAAGAAUCUUUUAGAAUGUUGCAUCGUAGAUUUUGGGCAGCGGCACUAAACUUUGCUACUUGCACAGUUGUUUUUGAAGAUGUAUCUCCUAGGAGAUAUUCCAACCAAAAAAGUUCAGAUUUAUGAGAAAAAGGCGACAGCAGAGGGGUAAUUAGUUGUUGCCUUAAGGUCUUAUAGAGAGAGCAGUAUAGAAGUACACGUGUGUUGUUCUCAACUGUAUCUUCCCCACAGAGACACACACAAUCUUUGUACGGUAUUUUGGAUAAUCUGCCUUCCAUAACAGCUGAAGGUAAGACGUCCAUUCGGAUCUGAGAAAAAGCUUUACGAUAUUUGGGGAUUUCUAAAUUUAAUAAGUAUGGCAUUGGAGUAAAGAAUUUAGAAUUAUGUCUUUGUUUUUGAUUAACAAUAGCUGUUGUUGGUAGUCUAUGUGUUUCAGACGCUGUCGUAUGUUGACAAAAGCUGCUUCAGGUCCAAUAAGAGAAAUAAGUUGGGAGGAGAAGCCUAUCUUUGAAAGUUUAUCUGUCACUAGUCCUGCCCAAACAGAUUGGAAGUUGUCAUUUAAGAUAUCAGGGGCAAGACCAAUGGGGUUAAAAUAUUCUUGUAAGUCUUCCUGGGAUCCCAAGGCAGUGGCUCUCUGUUUUUUUUCAGGAUUUUCAGUCAUCAGCUUGGUUAUAAAAGCCUCAAGCAACGAAAUUCUUUUGUUGGCUAUUUUAUUGCUUCGUGUAGGGGGGUCUGUAUAAGGUUUUUCAAUCUGUUGAUAGUCUCCAACUGUUCUUCGGAGUUAAAGUCGGGGUACAGUUCAAGAAGCAGCAACUCUUCAGUUAUGUAUCAUGAAGGAAAGUGGAACUUUUUUCUUCCGUACUACCUCUUUGCUGAGCCAGAGGUUCAAGCUCUUCAUGUCAGAACAGCCACCCUUGGGAUCCGCCUAUGCUCAGCUGUUGUUCAGAUCCUCUCCUUUGGACUUGGCUUUUAAUCAAAAAGAAGCCCUGCCCACCCUUGCCACUGCUUCUGAAUCUGUCAUGUGCUGGUUUCCAUCAAAGUCAACAACAUCAAAUACACUGUUUAUGAAAGAAAAAAAAAACCAAUGCUCGUCAGACCAAGUUGAAGGAACCAAAAGCUUUAUUUAAAGACCCACUAGGUGGACAGAUGAUCCACCACCUGUUGAAGACCAGGCAGGAGACAUACCAUACAAUUUCACCCCACCCCACCCCACUGAUCAUGUCCCUGCCAAGUGCCCAAACUCAGGGGGGGCAGCAGCUCUGGGAUGAGACAGACAGAACAUGUCUGCCAUAUUCCUAUUGUGCUAUAUCCCACCCAAGAGAGACUGGAAUUCCCCACCUGCACAGACCUGCCCGAAGUAGUUCUCAGCAGAUGGAGGGAAUUCUUGGCCCUGAGGAUACACGGCAUGAAAUCCCCACCCCCACGUUGCUUUGUCAUUCCUGAUGAGAGAAGCCAGACUGAGCUAGCCGCUGACUGUGUCAAUGUUUGUUCAUUCUAUGCCAGGAACACACAGUGCUUGCCCGGUUGCGACAGCUUGCAUGAAGAAGCCCCUUCGGGAAGUUCUGGAAACGGGGCAAGGGAGGCGCUUCUUUGUUUCUUGCCAGAAAUAGUGGGAAGGCGCCUGACUCUGAGAGGAGCUCCCCUCAAGGAAGGAACGGGAGAGGGCCAGCUGGACUGCAAAGCAGCACACCCUGGGUGCCGCUACCUCUGGGCAAACCAGCAUCUCUGUGCCCUAGAGGGUCCCUGUUGUCACAUCAAGCCCAUGCCAGGAGUCCUCAGAGGCUGUGAUCUGCGCCCACAGCAUCCUGCACACUCCGGAAUCCCUGUUCCCUGCGCAACAGAAAAAAGACAGCACCCAGUGAGCAGACCACUCAGUGCAGCCCCAGCCCACUUCUCUGGCUUCUUGGAGCCUGGAAGGUAAAAACCGCACCCCAAGCAGGGUGCUUAUUGCCCUAAAACACCAACUCCACCCCUUGGUUCCACCCCCAGCCCUGCUACUAAAGGUAACUAAGGAGGUCCUUGGAGAGACGGACUUGUGACCUGCCAGUGAGUCACAGGAAACCAAGGAUGGCUUCUUGCACCAGCAGGGCCAAGACCACCUCCUCUUUUAUACGGUGCACUUUUAAUUGCAGACACAUACAGACAAGAGGACAGAUGUUCAGGCAAACGAUGAAAGCAAGCUCUGUGUUACCUGUGGGU